Molecule: transfer RNA, 67 nt
Filed under: Curtonida isos
Lineage: Eukaryota; Metazoa; Arthropoda; Malacostraca; Decapoda; Munididae
Description: Munida isos tRNA-Glu
Source: RNAcentral
AUUUUUAUGGUGUAAUAAACAUAUUACAUUUUCACUGUAAUGUUAAAGCCUCAGGCUUUUAAAAAUU